UAGAGGCCUACCAUGGUGGUAACGGGUAACGGGGUGUUAGGGCACGACACCGGAGAGGGAGCCUGAGAAACGGCUACCACAUCCAAGGAUGGCAGCAGGCGCGCAAAUUACCCAAUCCCGACACGGGGAGGUAGUGACAAUAAAUAACAAUACGGGGUUCUUUCGGAUCUCGUAAUUGGAAUGAGUACAAUUUAAAUCUCUUAACGAGGAACAAUUGGAGGGCAAGUCUGGUGCCAGCAGCCGCGGUAAUUCCAGCUCCAAUAGCGUAUAUUAAAGUUGUUGCAGUUAAAAAGCUCGUAGUUGAAUUUCGGGGUUAGUAGGUUGGUCAUGCCUCUGGUAUGUACUGGUCUCACUGAUUCCUCCUUCCUGAUGAACCGUAAUGCCAUUAAUUUGGUGUUGCGGGGAAUUUGGACUGUUACUUUGAAAAAAUUAGAGUGUUUAAAGCAAGCUAACGCUUGAAUACAUUAGCAUGGAAUAAUGAAAUAGGACGUUCGAUCUUAUUUUGUUGGUUUCUAGGAUUGACGUAAUGAUUAAUAGGGAUAGUUGGGGGCAUUAGUAUUCAAUUGUCAGAGGUGAAAUUCUUGGAUUUAUUGAAGACUAACUACUGCGAAAGCAUUUGCCAAGGAUGUUUUCAUUAAUCAAGAACGAAAGUUAGGGGAUCGAAGACGAUCAGAUACCGUCGUAGUCUUAACCAUAAACUAUGCCGACUAGGGAUCGG
RNAcentral lists this ribosomal RNA (718 nucleotides) under uncultured fungus. Its description in RNAcentral is "SSU rRNA". It matches the Rfam family "Eukaryotic small subunit ribosomal RNA", at positions 334 to 1056 of the family's 1831-position model. Lineage: Eukaryota; Fungi. The record is from RNAcentral.